Molecule: non-coding RNA, 413 nt
Organism: Cinara cedri
Lineage: Eukaryota; Metazoa; Arthropoda; Insecta; Hemiptera; Aphididae
Source: the annotation of a GenBank genome assembly
ACGUAACCGCUGAUUGUAAUACCGGCUCUUAGUAUAGGCCGGGAAAAACCUGGAAAAACGAAAUCAUGCAGUAGCUGUUCGGUUCUGAUAAACGGUGGCAGUCGGAUACUGACACCGAGUACCCCGCGGAGAUUAUUUUCCGAGAAAUAGGCACCGAAUAUUCCAAACAUUACUGUCAUUCCUAACUAAAUAUUAUAUUUUCACAGAAAUAGUAUUCAAGAUUAUGUGAUAUUAUUAGCAAAACGACAACUUACAAAAUAAUAAUAUUUUCCGGGAAGAUCAAAAAAAGAGGGGUUUGGAUGCGAUUGAAAAUGAUAUGAAGACAGCUGAAGUAUGCGAGGUGGGAGAUUAGGUCAAGUGAAAUCUUUUAUGUGACGGUAGCUGACGUCAAAUAUUUGGGAUGAAAGCGAAGG